UCCAGAGUAUCAAUUGGAGGGCAAGUCUGGUGCCAGCAGCCGCGGUAAUUCCAGCUCCAAUAGCGUAUAUUAAAAUUGUUGCAGUUAAAAAGCUCGUAGUUGAAUUUCUGCUGCAUUGCUUUUGCUCCUUUACGAGUCUUUGCAUUGUGGCUUAUUUCGGACUUUGUUUUACAAUGUCCGGAUGUUUACUUUGAGAAAAUUAGAGUGCUCAAAGCAGGCUUUCGCCUUGAAUAGUUUAGCAUGGAAUAAUAAAGUAGGACUUUGGUUCUAUUUUGUUGGUUUUAGGUACCAAAGUAAUGGUUAAUAGGAACAGUUGGGGGCAUUCGUAUUUAACUGUCAGAGGUGAAAUUCUUAGAUUUGUUAAAGACGAACUACUGCGAAAGCAUUUGCCAAGGAUGUUUUCAUUAAUCAAGAACGAAAGU
Molecule: ribosomal RNA, 422 nt
Filed under: Theileria ovis
Lineage: Eukaryota; Apicomplexa; Aconoidasida; Piroplasmida; Theileriidae
Description: SSU rRNA
Rfam family: Eukaryotic small subunit ribosomal RNA
Source: RNAcentral